CCUACGGGAGGCAGCAGUGGGGAAUAUUGGGCAAUGGGCGCAAGCCUGACCCAGCAACGCCGCGUGAAGGAAGAAGGCUUUCGGGUUGUAAACUUCUUUUCUCAGGGACGAAGCAAGUGACGGUACCUGAGGAAUAAGCCACGGCUAACUACGUGCCAGCAGCCGCGGUAAUACGUAGGUGGCAAGCGUUAUCCGGAUUUACUGGGUGUAAAGGGCGUGUAGGCGGGAAAGCAAGUCAGAUGUGAAAACCAUGGGCUCAACCUGUGGCCUGCAUUUGAAACUGUUUUUCUUGAGUACUGGGGAGGCAGACGGAAUUCCUAGUGUAGCGGUGAAAUGCGUAGAUAGUAGGAGGAACACCAGUGGCGAAGGCGGUCUGCUGGACAGCAACUGACGCUGAGGCGCGAAAGCGUGGGGAGCAAACAGGAUUAGAUACCCCGGUAGUC
RNAcentral lists this ribosomal RNA (443 nucleotides) under uncultured bacterium. RNAcentral's name for it is "partial 16S ribosomal RNA". It matches the Rfam family "Bacterial small subunit ribosomal RNA", at positions 338 to 795 of the family's 1533-position model. The record is from RNAcentral.